RNAcentral lists this ribosomal RNA (301 nucleotides) under uncultured bacterium. Its description in RNAcentral is "partial 16S ribosomal RNA". It matches the Rfam family "Bacterial small subunit ribosomal RNA", at positions 509 to 807 of the family's 1533-position model. The record is from RNAcentral.
CAGUAGCCGCGGGAAUACAGAGGGUGCGAGCGUUAAUCGGAUUUACUGGGCGUAAAGCGUGCGUAGGCGGCUUUUUAAGUCGGAUGUGAAAUCCCUGAGCUUAACUUAGGAAUUGCAUUCGAUACUGGGAAGCUAGAGUAUGGGAGAGGAUGGUAGAAUUCCAGGUGUAGCGGUGAAAUGCGUAGAGAUCUGGAGGAAUACCGAUGGCGAAGGCAGCCAUCUGGCCUAAUACUGACGCUGAGGUACGAAAGCAUGGGGAGCAAACAGGAUUAGAGACCCGCGUAGUCCCUGUCUCUUAUAC